GGGGAGCCUAUUUUGGCGAAGUACCUGAUUCCACACUGUCAAGAAAAGCCUCUAUGGAGAAUGUUGGUGCCCGUACCGCAAACCGACACAGGUAGGUGAGGAGAGAAUCCUAAGACCAUCGGAAGAAUUGCUGUUAAGGAACUAGGCAAAUUGACCCCGUAACUUCGGGAGAAGGGGUGCCUGCUUCACGGCAGGCCGCAGUGAAUAGGCCCAAGCAACUGUUUAUCAAAAACACAGGUCUCUGCUAAAGCGAAAGCUGAUGUAUAGGGGCUGACGCCUGCCCGGUGCUGGAAGGUUAAAGGGAUCUGUUAGCGUAAGCGAAGCGGUGAACUUAAGCCCCAGUGAACGGCGGCCGUAACUAUAACGGUCCUAAGGUAGCGAAAUUCCUUGUCGGGUAAGUUCCGACCCGCACGAAUGGCGUAAUGACUUGGGCACUGUCUCAACAGCAAAUCCGGCGAAAUUGUAGUGCAAGUGAAGAUGCUUGCUACCCGCGAUAGGACGGAAAGACCCCGUAGAGCUUUACUGUAGCUUAACAUUGAAUUUCGGUAUUGUCUGUACAGGAUAGGUGGGAGACUUGGAAGCAGGAGCGUCAGUUUCUGUGGAGUCACCCUUGGGAUACCACCCUGAUAGUACUGAAAUUCUAACGGAAAGCCUUGAAACAGGUUGCCGGACAUUGUUAGGUGGGCAGUUUGACUGGGGCGGUCGCCUCCUAAAAAGUAACGGAGGCGCCCAAAGGUUCCCUCAGCGCGGUCGGAAAUCGCGCGUAGAGUGUAAAGGCAUAAGGGAGCCUGACUGCGACACAUACAGGUGGAGCAGGGACGAAAGUCGGGCUUAGUGAUCCGGUGGUUCCUCGUGGGAGGGCCAUCGCUCAACGGAUAAAAGCUACCUCGGGGAUAACAGGCUGAUCUCCCCCAAGAGUCCACAUCGACGGGGAGGUUUGGCACCUCGAUGUCGGCUCGUCGCAUCCUGGGGCUGGAGUAGGUCCCAAGGGUUGGGCUGUUCGCCCAUUAAAGCGGCACGCGAGCUGGGUUCAGAACGUCGUGAGACAGUUCGGUCCCUAUCCGUCGCGGGCGUAGGAAAUUUGAAGGGAGCUGUCCUUAGUACGAGAGGACCGGGAUGGACUGACCUCUGGUGCACCAGUUGUCACGCCAGUGGCACAGCUGGGUAGCUAAGUCAGGAAGGGAUAAACGCUGAAAGCAUCUAAGCGUGAAGCCCACCCUAAGAUGAGAUUUCCCAUGACGUAAGUCAAUAAGAUCCCUUGAAGAACACAAGGUUGAUAGGUCAGAGGUGUAAGUGCAGCAAUGUAUUUAGCUGACUGAUACUAAUAGAUCGAAGGCUUGAUCAAAA
This 1347-nucleotide ribosomal RNA is filed under the name Clostridium cochlearium. Its description in RNAcentral is "partial 23S ribosomal RNA". It matches the Rfam family "Bacterial large subunit ribosomal RNA", at positions 1568 to 2925 of the family's 2925-position model. The record is from RNAcentral. Lineage: Bacteria; Bacillati; Bacillota; Clostridia; Eubacteriales; Clostridiaceae.